UAAUACUAGUUGAAAAUGAUUAUCAAUACCGAAUAGAACAUUCCCCCCACAUAUAUUUCGUUCUUAUUGGAUUGGUCAUUUUCAAUUAUCCCCUUUUAUAUGCCCGUAAAAGACUAACGUUGAGAAACAACGUUUCAAUAAAGCAGUAAACCUUUGACACUUGAGGUUUACUGCUUU
Molecule: non-coding RNA, 177 nt
Filed under: Staphylococcus capitis
Lineage: Bacteria; Bacillati; Bacillota; Bacilli; Caryophanales; Staphylococcaceae
Description: S. aureus tsr25 small RNA
Rfam family: S. aureus tsr25 small RNA
Source: RNAcentral